GGGGAAUAUUGGACAAUGGGGGCAACCCUGAUCCAGCCAUGCCGCGUGAGUGAUGAAGGCCUUCGGGUUGUAAAGCUCUUUUGGCGGGGACGAUGAUGACGGUACCCGCAGAAUAAGCCCCGGCUAACUACGUGCCAGCAGCCGCGGUAAUACGUAGGCAGCAAGCGUUGUUCGGAGUUACUGGGCGUAAAGAGUGCGUAGGCGGUUUUCUAAGUUCGGUGUGAAAUCUCCCGGCUUAACUGGGAGGGUGCGCCGAAGACUGGGAAGCUGGAGUGUGGGAAAGGCAGGCGGAAUUCCUGGUGUAGCGGUGAAAUGCGUAGAUAUCAGGAGGAACACCGGCGGUGUAGACGGCUUGCUAGACCAUAACUGACGCUGAGGCACGAAAGCGUGGGUAGCAAACA
Molecule: ribosomal RNA, 401 nt
Filed under: uncultured bacterium
Lineage: Bacteria
Description: bacterial SSU rRNA
Rfam family: Bacterial small subunit ribosomal RNA
Source: RNAcentral